Molecule: long non-coding RNA, 1433 nt
Filed under: Ornithorhynchus anatinus (platypus)
Lineage: Eukaryota; Metazoa; Chordata; Mammalia; Monotremata; Ornithorhynchidae
Description: lncRNA (ENSOANG00000047373.1)
Source: RNAcentral
CGUUGAUAUGAACCCUGGACAAGCAUAGUCUGCUGCCACAAAGACUAAAGUGCUACAUUUCAACAGCCGAGACAAGCAAGUGAUCAUUAAUAAAGCUUUUCUUGGGUUCCUUCAGUGGUGUUGGUAGUAAAAUGGACGGUGUCUUGCUGCAGGUAACUAAUGAAGAAGUGGUCAACCACAGAAACCUUCAAGAAAUCAGAAAUUCUGUCCCAUCUGAAAUAGGUUUUUAUUGGUCUCUACACCAGUUUAAUUUAGAUGAAAGGAAUAUGUAUCCUGAUAAUAAAGACAAAAAAACCUCAAUGAAGGAUUGUGUGUGGAUUUCAAUAACAUGAUCAUAAAUGCUUGUAACUUUGUAAACUAAUUUCCAACUGGCUAGACCGUUGUAUUAUGUUUAAAAUUAGGCUUUCAAGCAGACAUACUAGUUUUUUAAUAAAAAAAAAAAGUUUUGUACCAAAGUAGUUCGCGGUGAUUACGCAAAACGUGUACAUCUUCGUUAACUUGCACGGAAGUGUGCCGUAUUCCUGGUCUAAUUCUGAAAAAGGUCUCCAUUUUCCAUGUGCAGUUCUGGUACAAAUGGUUUGUCACCCUUGCUGGUUAAAUUGUGAAUAUGCCUGAUCAUUUUGAGGAUUGGUGGCUAUCUGCUCAGUCUUGACAUCUGGUAAUGCGGUUUCAGUGAGCAGUGCUAGCUGAAUGCACGGGACUGCUUUUAGGCCUCCCAGUGAAAGGUUAGCUGCAUUUUAUUUAAUGCUGGAGUAACCAAAGCAAAGAGAUACUAGUUACUGGAAUUGUGGAGACCCAUGAUGAAUUGAAAUGUGCACUUAGACCUAGAUAGGGAAACGUUCUGGUUUUCUAUAAGUCGGUGUCGUUCUCUAGUACCAGGUGGGUUUUGCUUAGGAUGAAAUGUGAAAUCUCUAACUUUAAAUCACCUUAGCUUGUGCCAGUGUCUUUAUCUCUCUGAACCAGUUUCCUUCUGAAAAAAUGUGGUUCUAUACCUCUCCUCCCUUCGCAGAGAGGGUGAGAACAAAAUGAAAAGUAAUGUGAGUGCCCUUUGAAAAAAGUGUGCAAAAAAUGCCCUAGAGAGACAGUCACGGGAGGAGGGAUUUGGGGUUCCUUUUCUGCAGUGGAAACUUGCCUAAACUUGGGUUAGCCGGAAGAGAGGUAGGAGGCGGAGCCUUUUGAAAACUUAAUCCAUUUUCUGCAGGUGACUUAAAACAGCAGAGCCUGAGCAGUGCUCCUGAAGACCUCCCCAGUGCAGCAGGCAGUUGGCAGGUUGGGUUCAAUAAAAUGAACUGCUCAACUAAUGGGCUUUUCUUGUUAAACAGCAGUGCCUCUGGGCACCAGCAUGCCACUCUGCCAACCCCAGAGCUCUCCCAAGGCCAAGUUCACCCAAACACUUCCAUUUAUCCAGCACUGGCAACUUGCAUCUUUAUCCU